Molecule: transfer RNA, 81 nt
Filed under: Candidatus Pacearchaeota archaeon
Lineage: Archaea; Nanobdellati
Description: tRNA-Ser
Rfam family: tRNA
About the family: Transfer RNA (tRNA) molecules are approximately 80 nucleotides in length. Their secondary structure includes four short double-helical elements and three loops (D, anti-codon, and T loops).
Source: RNAcentral
GCCCAGUUCGCAUAAUGGUAUUGCAGCGGAUUGCUAAUCCGCGCCCUUCGGGGCACGCAGGUUCGAUUCCUGCACUGGGCG